RNAcentral lists this ribosomal RNA (253 nucleotides) under uncultured bacterium. RNAcentral's name for it is "partial 16S ribosomal RNA". It matches the Rfam family "Bacterial small subunit ribosomal RNA", at positions 524 to 776 of the family's 1533-position model. The record is from RNAcentral.
UACAGAGGGUGCAAGCGUUGUUCGGAAUUAUUGGGCGUAAAGGGCGCGUAGGCGGCGUCGCAUGUCCGGUGUGAAAUCCCACCUCUUAAAGGUGGAAGUGCGCUGGAAACUGCGAUGCUUGAGUGCCGGAGAGGGUAGUGGAAUUCCCGGUGUAGAGGUGAAAUUCGUAGAUAUCGGGAGGAACACCAGUGGCGAAGGCGGCUACCUGGACGGACACUGACGCUGAGGCGCGAAAGCGUGGGGAGCAAACAGG